Artibeus jamaicensis (Jamaican fruit-eating bat) is the source of this 933-nucleotide long non-coding RNA. RefSeq lists it as uncharacterized. The transcript is spliced from 3 exons. Lineage: Eukaryota; Metazoa; Chordata; Mammalia; Chiroptera; Phyllostomidae. The record is from RefSeq and is a predicted model, not a curated record.
AGCAGGGGUGGUCUCUCCAGCAUGAGCUACUAAUGCCACGCACCUGGGACGGGACCCCUCCUACCAGGGGUCCUCUUCUCCUCGGGUCGCUUAGUCGGAGCCCCAGUUGUUUCUCUAAAACUGAAUUAAAUCCCCCUUCUCCAGGAGGAGAGAGGGUCCACUGCCUCUCUGCGCCACUUCCCUCUUCUAUGAAGUGAAGGCGAAAUACUAUUACCUCCUCGGGUUCUCUACACCAGUGGGCGGUCCACAGUGAUGCUCACUGAGGAAGCUCAGAGACAGCGUGAUUGUCUGAGGCCACACCACACAGCCGGUCAGUGGGAACACUGGACUCAGAACUCUGAACGGACUCGGGGAGAGUGAGGAAAUGAAGCCACUUGGAAGAAUGAGCUUGCCUGUUAACCUGGAGGCCAAAUGUGAAGUCUUCCCAUGCACAGGGAGGGAGGCUGGUGGUCAGAGCCGGUGGCCAGAGGGUUAGUCUCAGGAAUCAGUCUUGACUGCCCUCGGGGGCUCCUGGAGGGGACACUAUAGGGAGCAUCGGGAGACUGUUCAAAACAUGGGUUCUUGGGCUCUGUCCCCCAGAGAUUCUGUUCCAGGGCAUCAGAUGGGUUUCUGUGCCUGCACCUGUUACAAGAGCAUUGGGCAGUCUCGGGAAGCUAAGCUCUGUGCCAGUCUGCUAGGGCUGCCGUACCAGAUUGCCGCGGACUGGGUGGCUUAAACAACAAUUUACUUUCUCACAGUUUGGCAGCUAGAAUGCAAGAUCAAGUUGCCAGCAGGGUUGGUUUCUGGUGAGGCCUUUCCUUCUGGCUUGUAGGAGGCAGCCCUCUCAUUGUUUCCUCAUGUAGCCUUUCCUCUGUGCACACAGUCUUUUUUUAAAAAAAAUAAUCUUAUUGAUUUGAGAGAGAGAGAAACAUCAGUUUGUUGUUCCACGUAUUC